This 496-nucleotide ribosomal RNA is filed under the name uncultured bacterium. RNAcentral describes it as "partial 16S ribosomal RNA". It matches the Rfam family "Bacterial small subunit ribosomal RNA", at positions 29 to 507 of the family's 1533-position model. The record is from RNAcentral.
AUGAACGCUGGCGGCGUGCCUAAUACAUGCAAGUCGAGCGAACAGACGAGGAGCUUGCUCCUCUGACGUUAGCGGCGGACGGGUGAGUAACACGUGGAUAACCUACCUAUAAGACUGGGAUAACUUCGGGAAACCGGAGCUAAUACCGGAUAAUAUAUUGAACCGCAUGGUUCAAUAGUGAAAGACGGUUUUGCUGUCACUUAUAGAUGGAUCCGCGCCGCAUUAGCUAGUUGGUAAGGUAACGGCUUACCAAGGCGACGAUGCAUAGCCGACCUGAGAGGGUGAUCGCCCACACUGGAACUUAGACACGGUCCAGACUCCUACGGGAGGCAGCAGUAGAGAAUCUUCCGCAAUGGGCGAAAGCCUGACGGAGCAACGCCGCGUGAGUGAUGAAGGUCUUCCGAUCGUAAAACUCUGUUAUUAGUGAAGAACAAAUGUGUAAGUAACUAUGCACGUCUUGACGGUACCUAAUCAGAAAGCCACGGCUAACUACGUG